This 881-nucleotide ribosomal RNA is filed under the name uncultured Pseudomonadota bacterium. RNAcentral's name for it is "bacterial SSU rRNA". It matches the Rfam family "Bacterial small subunit ribosomal RNA", at positions 512 to 1393 of the family's 1533-position model. Lineage: Bacteria; Pseudomonadati; Pseudomonadota. The record is from RNAcentral.
CAGCCGCGGUAAUACGGAGGGUGCAAGCGUUGUUCGGAAUUAUUGGGCGUAAAGCGAGUGUAGGCGGUUUGGCAAGUCGGAUGUGAAAGCCCAGGGCCCAACCCUGGAAUUGCAUCCGAUACUGUCAGGCUAGAGUCCCGGAGAGGGUGGCGGAAUUCCCGGUGUAGGGGUGAAAUCCGUAGAUAUCGGGAGGAACACCAGUGGCGAAGGCGGCCACCUGGACGGUGACUGACGCUGAGACUCGAAAGCGUGGGUAGCAAACAGGAUUAGAUACCCUGGUAGUCCACGCCGUAAACGGUGAGUGCUCGUCGUCGUGGGUAUUGACCCCUGCGGUGACCAAGUUAACGCAUGAAGCACUCCGCCUGGGAAGUACGGUCGCAAGACUAAAACUCAAAGAAAUUGACGGGGGCCCGCACAAGCGGUGGAGCAUGUUGUUUAAUUCGAAGCAACGCGCAGAACCUUACCUGGAUUUGACAUCCUCGGAAUCUCUCUGAAAGGAGAGAGUGCCUUCGGGAGCCGAGAGACAGGUGCUGCAUGGCUGUCGUCAGCUCGUGUCGUGAGGUGUUGGGUUAAGUCCCGCAACGAGCGCAACCCCUAUCGUUAGUUGCUAGCAGUUCGGCUGAGCACUCUAGCGAGACUGCCGGUGUUAAACCGGAGGAAGGUGGGGAUGACGUCAAGUCCUCAUGGCCUUUAUGUCCAGGGCUACUAACGUGCUACAAUGGUCGGUACAGACGGUCGCGAACCCGCGAGGGCAAGCCAAUCCUAAAAAGCCGGCCUCAGUUCGGAUUGGAGUCUGCAAUUCGACUCCAUGAAGGCGGAAUCGCUAGUAAUCGCAGAUCAGCAUGCUGCGGUGAAUACGUUCCCGGGCCUGCACACACCGC